RNAcentral lists this ribosomal RNA (475 nucleotides) under uncultured organism. RNAcentral describes it as "partial 16S ribosomal RNA". It matches the Rfam family "Bacterial small subunit ribosomal RNA", at positions 334 to 800 of the family's 1533-position model. The record is from RNAcentral.
CACUCCUGCGGGAGGCAGCAGUGGGGAAUUUUGGACAAUGGGCGAAAGCCUGAUCCAGCCAUGCCGCGUGCAGGAUGAAGGCCUUCGGGUUGUAAACUGCUUUUGUACGGAACGAAACGGCCUUUUCUAAUAAAGAGGGCUAAUGACGGUACCGUAAGAAUAAGCACCGGCUAACUACGUGCCAGCAGCCGCGGUAAUACGUAGGGUGCAAGCGUUAAUCGGAAUUACUGGGCGUAAAGCGUGCGCAGGCGGUUAUGUAAGACAGUUGUGAAAUCCCCGGGCUCAACCUGGGAACUGCAUCUGUGACUGCAUAGCUAGAGUACGGUAGAAGGGGAUGGAAUUCCGCGUGUAGCAGUGAAAUGCGUAGAUAUGCGGAGGAACACCGAUGGCGAAGGCAAUCCCCUGGACCUGUACUGACGCUCAUGCACGAAAGCGUGGGGAGCAAACAGGAUUAGAUACCCCAGUAGUCCCAUGA